GCAAGUCGAGCGAGAAGCUCACGAUUGAUACUUCGGUUGAUUUUGUGAGUGGAAAGCGGCGGACGGGUGAGUAACGCGUAGGCAACCUGCCCCUGACAGAGGGAUAGCCUCGGGAAACCGGGAUUAAAACCUCAUAAUGCCAACAUACUGCCUGGUAAGUUGGCCAAAGAUUUAUCGGUCAGGGAUGGGCCUGCGUCUGAUUAGUUAGUUGGUGGGGUAACGGCCUACCAAGACGACGAUCAGUAGCCGACCUGAGAGGGUGAUCGGCCACAUUGGAACUGAGACACGGUCCAAACUCCUACGGGAGGCAGCAGUAGGGAAUCUUGCACAAUGGGCGAAAGCCUGAUGCAGCAACGCCGCGUGAGCGAUGAAGGCCCUUGGGUCGUAAAGCUCUGUCCUUGGGGAAGAAAAAAAUGACGGUACCCUUGGAGGAAGCCCCGGCUAACUACGUGCCAGCAGCCGCGGUAAUACGUAGGGGGCAAGCGUUAUCCGGAAUCAUUGGGCGUAAAGCGUGCGUAGGUGGUUUCUUAAGCGCGGGGUUUAAGGCUACGGCUCAACCGUAGUUCGCCCCGUGAACUGGGAGACUUGAGUGCAGGAGGGGAAAGUGGAAUUCCUAGUGUAGCGGUGAAAUGCGUAGAUAUUAGGAGGAACACCAGUGGCGAAGGCGACUUUCUGGACUGUUACUGACACUGAGGCACGAAAGCGUGGGGAGCAAACAGGAUUAGAUACCCUGGUAGUCCACGCCGUAGACGAUGAGCACUAGGUGUCGGGGUCGCAAGACUUCGGUGCCGAAGUUAACGCAUUAAGUGCUCCGCCUGGGGAGUACGUUCGCAAGAAUAAAACUCAAAGGAAUUGACGGGGACCCGCACAAGCAGCGGAGCAUGUGGUUUAAUUCGAAGCAACGCGAAGAACCUUACCAGGGCUUGACAUCCUCUCGACAGGUCUUUAACAGGACCCUUCUUCGGACGAGAGUGACAGGUGGUGCAUGGUUGUCGUCAGCUCGUGUCGUGAGAUGUUGGGUUAAGUCCCGCAACGAGCGCAACCCUUGUCAUUAGUUGCCAUCAUUCAGUUGGGCACUCUAGUGAGACUGCCGGGGACAACUCGGAGGAAGGUGGGGAUGACGUCAAAUCAUCAUGCCCCUUAUGUUCUGGGCUACACACGUGCUACAAUGGUCGGUACAACGAGACGCAAGACCGCGAGGUGGAGCAAAUCUUCAAAACCGGCCCCAGUUCGGAUUGCAGGCUGAAACCCGCCUGCAUGAAGUCGGAGUUGCUAGUAAUCGCGGAUCAGCAUGCCGCGGUGAAUACGUUCCCGGGUCUUGUACACACCGCCCGUCACACCAUGGAAGUUGGGGGCGCCCGAAGUUGGUCAAUUAAUAG
RNAcentral lists this ribosomal RNA (1379 nucleotides) under uncultured bacterium. RNAcentral describes it as "bacterial SSU rRNA". It matches the Rfam family "Bacterial small subunit ribosomal RNA". The record is from RNAcentral.